GGCCGACUAGCUCAGUUGGUUAGAGCGUCGUGCUAAUAUUGCUGAAUAUUCGGUAUUAACGCGAAGGUCUUGGGUUCGAUCCCCACGUUGGCCA
This is a non-coding RNA of Marasmius fiardii PR-910, 94 nucleotides long. Lineage: Eukaryota; Fungi; Basidiomycota; Agaricomycetes; Agaricales; Marasmiaceae. The record is from the annotation of a GenBank genome assembly.